GCGCACCAGGCGCGAAUACUUUACAAUGUGCGAAAGCACGAUAAGGGAACUCUGAGUGCCUCCUAAGGAGGCUGUUCAGGUGUCUAAAAGCACCUGAAGGAAGGGCUGGGUAAGACCGGUGCCAGCCGCCGCGGUAACACCGGCAGCCCAAGUGGUAGCCACGUUUAUUGGGUCUAAAGCGUCCGUAGCCGGCUGGGUAAGUUCCUUGGGAAAUUUGGCUGCUUAACAGUCAAGCUUUCAGGGAAUACUGCUCGGCUUGGGGACCGGGAGAGGUCAGAGGUACUCCAGGGGUAGGGGUGAAAUCCAUUAAUCCUUGGGGGACCACCGGUAGCGAAGGCGUCUGACCAGACCGGGUCCGACGGUGAGGGACGAAGGCUAGGGGCGCGAACCGGAUUAGAUACCCGCGUAG
Molecule: ribosomal RNA, 409 nt
Filed under: uncultured microorganism
Description: bacterial SSU rRNA
Rfam family: Archaeal small subunit ribosomal RNA
Source: RNAcentral